This 254-nucleotide ribosomal RNA is filed under the name uncultured bacterium. RNAcentral describes it as "partial 16S ribosomal RNA". It matches the Rfam family "Bacterial small subunit ribosomal RNA", at positions 524 to 776 of the family's 1533-position model. The record is from RNAcentral.
UACGUAGGGUGCGAGCGUUGUCCGGAAUUAUUGGGCGUAAAGAGCUCGUAGGCGGCUUGUCGCGUCGGAUGUGAAAGCCCCGGGGCUUAACCCCGGGUCUGCAUUCGAUACGGGCAGGCUAGAGUUCGGUAGGGGAGAUCGGAAUUCCUGGUGUAGCGGUGAAAUGCGCAGAUAUCAGGAGGAACACCGGUGGCGAAGGCGGAUCUCUGGGCCGAUACUGACGCUGAGGCGCGACAGCGUGGGGAGCAAACAGG